AUGGCUUUAAACUGGGAGAGGGUAGACUUAGAUUAAAUAUUAGAAAGAAGUUCAUUCUUGUGAGGGUGGCGAGAUGCUGGUACAGGUUGCCCAGACAAGCUGUGAAAGCUCCAUCCCUGGCAGCUUUAAGGCCAGGUUGGAUGAGGCUUUGAGCAACCUUGUCUAGUGGAAGGUGUCCCUGCCUUUGGCAGGGGUGUUGAAACAGGAUGAUCUUUAAGGUCCCUUCCAACCCAAACCAUUCUGUGUAUGUGCAUUAGAUGAG
Long non-coding RNA from Strigops habroptila (Kakapo), 262 nucleotides. RefSeq lists it as uncharacterized. The record is from RefSeq and is a predicted model, not a curated record. Lineage: Eukaryota; Metazoa; Chordata; Aves; Psittaciformes; Psittacidae. The transcript is spliced from 3 exons.